UUUAGUGGCGGACUGGUGAGUAACACGUAAGCAACCUGCCUGUUAGAGGGGAAUAACAACGAGAAAUCGUUGCUAAUACCGCAUAUGCCAUAGAAAUCACAUGAUUUUAGUGGGAAAGGAGCAAUCCGCUAACAGAUGGGCUUGCGUCUGAUUAGUUAGUUGGUGGGGUAACGGCCUACCAAGACGACGAUCAGUAGCCGGACUGAGAGGUUCAACGGCCACAUUGGGACUGAGAUACGGCCCAGACUCCUACGGGAGGCAGCAGUCGGGAAUAUUGCGCAAUGGAGGAAACUCUGACGCAGUGACGCCGCGUAUAGGAAGAAGGUUUUCGGAUUGUAAACUAUUGUCGAUAGGGAAGAAAAAAGACUGUACCUAUCAAGAAAGCUCCGGCUAACUACGUGCCAGCAGCCGCGGUAAUACGUAGGGAGCAAGUGUUAUCCGGAUUUAUUGGGUGUAAAGGGUGCGUAGGUGGCCUAUUAAGCCAGCUGUGAAAUACUGUAGCUCAACUACAGCCGUGCAGUUGGAACUGGUUGGCUUGAGUGCACAAGAGGGAUGUGGAAUUCGUGGUGUAGCGGUGAAAUGUUUAGAUAUCACGAAGAACUCCGAUUGCGAAGGCAGCGUCCUGGGGUGCAACUGACACUGAGGCUCGAAAGUGCGGGUAUCGAACAGGAUUAGAUACCCUGGUAGUCCGCACCGUAAACUAUGGAUACUCGCUGCCGGCGAUAGACAGUCGGUGGCUUAGCGAAAGCGUUAAGUAUCCCACCUGGGGAGUACGCCGGCAACGGUGAAACUCAAAGGAAUUGACGGGGGCCCGCACAAGCAGCGGAGCAUGUUGUUUAAUUCGAAGCAACGCGAAGAACCUUACCAGGUCUUGACAUCCGAUUAAAGCCAUAGAGAUAUGGUGUUCCUUCGGGAGAAUCGAGACAGGUGGUGCAUGGUUGUCGUCAGCUCGUGUCGUGAGAUGUUGGGUUAAGUCCCGCAACGAGCGCAACCCCUAUUGUCAGUUACUAACGGGUAAAGCCGAGGACUCUGACGAGACUGCCGGGGACAACUCGGAGGAAGGUGGGGACGACGUCAAAUCAUCAUGCCCCUUAUGACCUGGGCUACACACGUGCUACAAUGGUGACUACAAAGAGGAGCAAGUACGUAAGUAUGAGCGGAUCUCAAAAAAGUCAUCUCAGUUCGGAUUGUGGGCUGCAACCCGCCCACAUGAAGUCGGAGUAAAUAGUAAUCGCGGAUCAGUACGCCGCGGUGAAUACGU
RNAcentral lists this ribosomal RNA (1261 nucleotides) under uncultured bacterium. Its description in RNAcentral is "partial 16S ribosomal RNA". It matches the Rfam family "Bacterial small subunit ribosomal RNA", at positions 91 to 1371 of the family's 1533-position model. The record is from RNAcentral.